UGGGAUAACUCCGGGAAACCGGGGCUAAUACCGGAUGCUUGUUUGAACCGCAUGGUUCAAACAUAAAAGGUGGCUUCGGCUACCACUUACAGAUGGACCCGCGGCGCAUUAGCUAGUUGGUGAGGUAAUGGCUCACCAAGGCGACGAUGCGUAGCCGACCUGAGAGGGUGAUCGGCCACACUGGGACUGAGACACGGCCCAGACUCCUACGGGAGGCAGCAGUAGGGAAUCUUCCGCAAUGGACGAAAGUCUGACGGAGCAACGCCGCGUGAGUGAUGAAGGUUUUCGGAUCGUAAAGCUCUGUUGUUAGGGAAGAACAAGUACCGUUCGAAUAGGGCGGUACCUUGACGGUACCUAACCAGAAAGCCACGGCUAACUACGUGCCAGCAGCCGCGGUAAUACGUAGGUGGCAAGCGUUGUCCGGAAUUAUUGGGCGUAAAGGGCUCGCAGGCGGUUUCUUAAGUCUGAUGUGAAAGCCCCCGGCUCAACCGGGGAGGGUCAUUGGAAACUGGGGAACUUGAGUGCAGAAGAGGAGAGUGGAAUUCCACGUGUAGCGGUGAAAUGCGUAGAGAUGUGGAGGAACACCAGUGGCGAAGGCGACUCUCUGGUCUGUAACUGACGCUGAGGAGCGAAAGCGUGGGGAGCGAACAGGAUUAGAUACCCUGGUAGUCCACGCCGUAAACGAUGAGUGCUAAGUGUUAGGGGGUUUCCGCCCCUUAGUGCUGCAGCUAACGCAUUAAGCACUCCGCCUGGGGAGUACGGUCGCAAGACUGAAACUCAAAGGAAUUGACGGGGGCCCGCACAAGCGGUGGAGCAUGUGGUUUAAUUCGAAGCAACGCGAAGAACCUUACCAGGUCUUGACAUCCUCUGACAAUCCUAGAGAUAGGACGUCCCCUUCGGGGGCAGAGUGACAGGUGGUGCAUGGUUGUCGUCACCUCCUGUCCUGAGAUGUUGGGUUAAAUCCGCCACCAACGCCACCCUUGAUCUUAUUUGCCACCAUUCAAUUGGGCACUCUAAGGGGACUGCCGGGGACAAACC
Molecule: ribosomal RNA, 1038 nt
Filed under: Bacillus subtilis
Lineage: Bacteria; Bacillati; Bacillota; Bacilli; Caryophanales; Bacillaceae
Description: bacterial SSU rRNA
Rfam family: Bacterial small subunit ribosomal RNA
Source: RNAcentral